CGUGCAUUGUUCAUCAAAAAUUUACUGCAUAGCGUUGCCAUAUGUCAAGAAUAAAAAAAAAAUUGACAGGCGAUAAUACAAACCAACUAUUUUCCUAUGUAAGUGGAAAAAGGGGGCUUUAACUUUGACAUUGCAAAAAGAUGCCUGUCACAUGACCUUUUCUGCAAUCACAUGGCAUGGUGAAAGUCAUCAGAGGGCUUUCAAAACUUUAACUUUUUCCAAUAUUUAGGCAAAACUACUUAAAGGAAAACAUUUAAACACUAUCUGAGAUAACGUUUAUUUUUUGUCAUUUAAACAAGUUUAUAUAUUUUGAGUAUUCUGUUAAAAAAUGUAAUUGUUGUCAUAUGGCAACAACAUGCGAUAAUGGAACUGUGGUAUGUGCGUUUAUGAAUGAUACAGGCCUACAUUACAGAAGCCUAAGCCCAUACCCUAAUACCCAUACCCAUAGCCCACACCCUAAGCGGCCAUGCAUUAUUGAUUUUAUUUGUGAUUUUCUCAUAAUCACAAUUUUUUCGUGAUCUUGACAUAACCAAAAGCUGUUCUCUCAUGAAGUAAUUUUAUCCCAAGAAAAUCUCGCACCUUCUGAAUGGGAUUGGUGUUACAUGCACGUUGGUAUCUUCGCCGUCAUAAAUAAAAAAAUUAACUGCUGUAGAGAUGGACUUUAUCUCCACAUUAAGAAAGAAGGUCAUCAAUCCUUGGGGAUGAUGUAUUUUUGUAGGCCAACCCAAAAGUUAGCAGCACCCUGGUUCCCUCGACAAAAAGCUAAUAGGAUUUUUCCACUGGCUUUUGGAUUAUUGCAGAAAAUAAGCUCUGUGACCAACAAAAGUUUAUGAUUAUGAUGUUUUGUUCAUCAAGAUAAUCUUCAAAAAUUAAUACAACUUUUAUGACUUUUGAAGCCUAAAUACAAUCACCAGAAGUAAAAACAUAAUGUUAUAAAUGGCUAUAAACAAACUACACCACAGUGGCAUGACUUCAACAUCACCGCCACUACACUUCUGACAACUCUUUCAAUCUUUAUUUUAAAAAUAUUACAAUUGGAAAAUACUAUAAACUGAUAAAUCUAUAAGUUGGAAAGUUUGAGCUGGAAUAGUUUGCAAGAGCAUGAGUAUAAACACAACGAGGCUGUAGUAGUUUUCCCUGACAACCUUUGUUGUCAUUAAACUAAUUUAAUGUCCCCGACAACCUUUGUAGUCUCAUUUAGCCACUUGUUAGCAACCGUCUUAUUGAAGACAAGUAAAAGCCCUUU
Long non-coding RNA from Ictalurus punctatus (channel catfish), 1246 nucleotides. The record is from Ensembl. NCBI's taxonomy places the organism in Eukaryota, Metazoa, Chordata, Actinopteri, Siluriformes, Ictaluridae.